GUAAAAGUCGUAACAAGGUCUCCGUUGGUGAACCAGCGGAGGGAUCAUUACCGAGUUUACAACUCCCAAACCCAAUGUGAACGUUACCAAACUGUUGCCUCGGCGGGAUCUCUGCCCCGGGUGCGUCGCAGCCCCGGACCAAGGCGCCCGCCGGAGGACCAACCAAAACUCUUAUUGUAUACCCCCUCGCGGGUUUUUUUAUAAUCUGAGCCUUCUCGGCGCCUCUCGUAGGCGUUUCGAAAAUGAAUCAAAACUUUCAACAACGGAUCUCUUGGUUCUGGCAUCGAUGAAGAACGCAGCGAAAUGCGAUAAGUAAUGUGAAUUGCAGAAUUCAGUGAAUCAUCGAAUCUUUGAACGCACAUUGCGCCCGCCAGUAUUCUGGCGGGCAUGCCUGUCCGAGCGUCAUUUCAACCCUCGAACCCCUCCGGGGGGUCGGCGUUGGGGAUCGGCCCUGCCUUGGCGGUGGCCGUCUCCGAAAUACAGUGGCGGUCUCGCCGCAGCCUCUCCUGCGCAGUAGUUUGCACACUCGCAUCGGGAGCGCGGCGCGUCCACAGCCGUUAAACACCCAACUUCUGAAAUGUUGACCUCGGAUCAGGUAGGAAUACCCGCUGAACUUAAGCAUU
RNAcentral lists this ribosomal RNA (623 nucleotides) under Trichoderma asperellum. RNAcentral describes it as "eukaryotic LSU rRNA". The stretch from base 252 to 405 matches the Rfam family "5.8S ribosomal RNA". Lineage: Eukaryota; Fungi; Ascomycota; Sordariomycetes; Hypocreales; Hypocreaceae. The record is from RNAcentral.